RNAcentral lists this ribosomal RNA (256 nucleotides) under uncultured bacterium. Its description in RNAcentral is "partial 16S ribosomal RNA". It matches the Rfam family "Bacterial small subunit ribosomal RNA", at positions 524 to 776 of the family's 1533-position model. The record is from RNAcentral.
GACGUAGGUGGCGAGCAUUAUCCGGAAUUAUUGGGCGUAAAGGGUGCGUAGAUGGCCUGGCAAGUUAACAGUGGAAAAUCGAGGCUCAACCUCGUGGAAACUGAUAAUACUGUCUGGCUCGAGUGCAGGAGAGGUUAACGGAACUCCAUGUGGAACGGUAAAAUGUGUAGAUAUAUGGAAGAACACCAAUAACGGCGAAGGCAGUUAACUAUGCUGUUACUGACAUUGAGGCACGAAAGCGUGGGGAGCGAAACGG